RNAcentral lists this ribosomal RNA (145 nucleotides) under uncultured bacterium. RNAcentral's name for it is "partial 16S ribosomal RNA". It matches the Rfam family "Bacterial small subunit ribosomal RNA", at positions 50 to 208 of the family's 1533-position model. The record is from RNAcentral.
UACACAUGCAAGUCGAACGGCAGCACGGGGGCAACCCUGGUGGCGAGUGGCGAACGGGUGAGAAAUACAUCGGAACGUGUCCUGUAGUGGGGGAUAGCCCGGCGAAAGCCGGAUUAAUACCGCAUACGCUCUGCGGAGGAAAGCG